CAGUCGCCACGGUAAUACGUAGGUGGCAAGCGUUGUCCGGAAUUAUUGGGCGUAAAGGGCUCGCAGGCGGUUUCUUAAGUCUGAUGUGAAAGCCCCCGGCUCAACCGGGGAGGGUCAUUGGAAACUGGGAAACUUGAGUGCAGAAGAGGAGAGUGGAAUUCCACGUGUAGCGGUGAAAUGCGUAGAGAUGUGGAGGGACACCAGUGGCGAAGGCGACUCUCUGGUCUGUAACUGACGCUGAGGAGCGAAAGCGUGGGGAGCGAACAGGAUUAGAUACCCCUGUAGUCCCUGUCUCUUAUAA
Molecule: ribosomal RNA, 301 nt
Filed under: uncultured bacterium
Lineage: Bacteria
Description: partial 16S ribosomal RNA
Rfam family: Bacterial small subunit ribosomal RNA
Source: RNAcentral